This 292-nucleotide ribosomal RNA is filed under the name uncultured Bacteroidota bacterium. Its description in RNAcentral is "uncultured Bacteroidetes bacterium partial 16S ribosomal RNA". Lineage: Bacteria; Pseudomonadati; Bacteroidota. The record is from RNAcentral.
GGACUACUCGGGUUUCUAAUCCUGUUUGCUCCCCGCGCUUUCGUGCCUCAGCGUCAGUUACAGUUUAGUGAGCUGCCUUCGCAAUCGGUGUUCUGUGUCAUAUCUAAGCAUUUCACCGCUACAUGACACAUUCCGCCCACUUCAAAUGUACUCAAGACCGUCAGUAUCAAUGGCCAUUUCCAUGUUAGGCAUGGAGCUUUCACCACUGACUUAACAGCCCGCCUACGCACCCUUUAAACCCAAUAAAUCCGGAUAACGCUUGGGACCUUCGUAUUACCGCGGCUGCUGGCAC